RNAcentral lists this unclassified non-coding RNA (428 nucleotides) under Hevea brasiliensis (rubber tree). The record is from RNAcentral. Lineage: Eukaryota; Viridiplantae; Streptophyta; Magnoliopsida; Malpighiales; Euphorbiaceae.
UGCAGCCAUAGAGAAAGACCAAACAGGACUGAUCCUGAAAACACAAUAUUUCAACAAUUCAAAAGGUACCUUCCACCAAACUUUCUUCCUCGUCUCCUCAUCACCUCCUGGUUUUCUUUCUCCAACUGAAACAACGCUCAUAUUUUCAUCUUUGGGAGCAUUUCCAAAGUUCGACUCACCCAAAACCUCAGAACCCUCAUUCAUCUCCCCAACAUCAGCAAAACCCAGACUAUCACCACUUGAAUCAGACCAGAACGUGCCCAAAUCCUUAUCCUUACUACGGUUUUCUCCAAAUUCUUCAAAACCUGCCAGGUUUUUCACAUUCUCCUCAAAGCUGAUUUCACUUUUACCCUCCAAAUUACUGAAAGUACCCUCACGAGACAAGAAUUUCCCUUCCUCACCAUCUUUACCUUCAAUUUCUCCAAUCC